AUGCGGAGGGUGCAAGCGUUGUUCGGAAUUACAGGGCGUAAAGCGCGCGUAGGUGGUCUGUUAUGUCAGAUGUGAAAGUCCACGGCUCAACCGUGGAAGUGCAUUUGAAACUGGCAGACUUGAGUACUGGAGGGGGUAGUGGAAUUCCCGGUGUAGAGGUGAAAUUCGUAGAUAUCGGGAGGAAUACCGGUGGCGAAGGCGACUACCUGGCCAGAUACUGACACUGAGGUGCGAAAGCGUGGGGAGCGAACAGGAUUAGAAACCCCAGUAGUCC
Molecule: ribosomal RNA, 274 nt
Filed under: uncultured bacterium
Lineage: Bacteria
Description: partial 16S ribosomal RNA
Rfam family: Bacterial small subunit ribosomal RNA
Source: RNAcentral